GGCGGGGUAGCUCAGUUGGUUAGAGCAGCGGAAUCAUAAUCCGGAGGUCGCCGGUUCGAAUCCGGCCCCCGCUACCA
This 77-nucleotide transfer RNA is filed under the name Roseiarcus sp. RNAcentral describes it as "tRNA-Met". It matches the Rfam family "tRNA". From Rfam's summary of the family: Transfer RNA (tRNA) molecules are approximately 80 nucleotides in length. The record is from RNAcentral. RNAcentral also lists the same sequence under 3 other names. Lineage: Bacteria; Pseudomonadati; Pseudomonadota; Alphaproteobacteria; Hyphomicrobiales; Roseiarcaceae.